This 517-nucleotide ribosomal RNA is filed under the name uncultured Synechococcus sp. RNAcentral's name for it is "bacterial SSU rRNA". It matches the Rfam family "Bacterial small subunit ribosomal RNA", at positions 381 to 911 of the family's 1533-position model. Lineage: Bacteria; Bacillati; Cyanobacteriota; Cyanophyceae; Synechococcales; Synechococcaceae. The record is from RNAcentral.
GCCUGACGGAGCAACGCCGCGUGAGGGAUGAAGGCCUCUGGGCUGUAAACCUCUUUUAUCAAGGAAGAAGAUCUGACGGUACUUGAUGAAUAAGCCACGAGCUAAUUCCGUGCCAGCAGCCGCGGUAAUACGGGAGUGGCAAGCGUUAUCCGGAAUUAUUGGGCGUAAAGCGUCCGCAGGCGGUUUUACAAGUCUGUCGUUAAAACGUGGAGCUCAACUCCAUUUCRGCGAUGGAAACUGUAAGACUAGAGUGUGGUAGGGGCAGAGGGAAUUCCCGGUGUAGCGGUGAAAUGCGUAGAURUCGGGAAGAACACCAGUGGCGAAGGCGCUCUGCUGGGCCAUAACUGACGCUCAUGGACGAAAGCCAGGGGAGCGAAAGGGAUUAGAUACCCCUGUAGUCCUGGCCGUAAACGAUGAACACUAGGUGUCGGGGGAAUCGACCCCCUCGGUGUCGUAGCCAACGCGUUAAGUGUUCCGCCUGGGGAGUACGCACGCAAGUGUGAAACUCAAAGGAAUU